UACGUAGGGUGCAAGCGUUGUCCGGAAUUAUUGGGCGUAAAGAGCUCGUAGGCGGCUUGUCGCGUCGAAUGUGAAAUCUCAGGGCUCAACUCUGACAUUGCAUUCGAUACGGGCAGGCUAGAGUUCGGUAGGGGAGACUGGAAUUCCUGGUGUAGCGGUGAAAUGCGCAGAUAUCAGGAAGAACACCCGUGGCGAAGGCGGCUCUCUGGGACGUGACUGACGCUGAGACGCGAAAGCGUGGGGAGCAAACAGG
Molecule: ribosomal RNA, 253 nt
Filed under: uncultured bacterium
Lineage: Bacteria
Description: partial 16S ribosomal RNA
Rfam family: Bacterial small subunit ribosomal RNA
Source: RNAcentral